This 72-nucleotide transfer RNA is filed under the name Pediococcus cellicola. It matches the Rfam family "tRNA". From Rfam's summary of the family: Transfer RNA (tRNA) molecules are approximately 80 nucleotides in length. Their secondary structure includes four short double-helical elements and three loops (D, anti-codon, and T loops). Further hydrogen bonds mediate the characteristic L-shaped molecular structure. tRNAs have two regions of fundamental functional importance: the anti-codon, which is responsible for specific mRNA codon recognition, and the 3' end, to which the tRNAs corresponding amino acid is attached (by aminoacyl-tRNA synthetases). tRNAs cope with the degeneracy of the genetic code in two manners: having more than one tRNA (with a specific anti-codon) for a particular amino acid; and 'wobble' base-pairing, i.e. permitting non-standard base-pairing at the 3rd anti-codon position. The record is from Rfam by way of RNAcentral. Lineage: Bacteria; Bacillati; Bacillota; Bacilli; Lactobacillales; Lactobacillaceae.
GCGCCGUUAGUGUAGUGGAUCGCACGCAAGAUUCCGGUUCUUGAAACGCGGGUUCGACUCCCGCAUGGCGCA